UCAGUGCAAAGAACGCAGCCUGAUAAAUUUUGAUUAGUUGCCACCGAUGUGGACCUAGAAUUGUCAUAGCUCGGCUUCAUUGUCAAUGCCAGCUGUGAACAUGGAAUAGAAGCUUUUCCACUCUGUAUAGGAUCCGCUGAACUUGGGUAGCUGCAGCUGUGGCGCAAUCGAUGGGCUAUGUACAUAAUGGAUUCACUUGGGUUCAUUCGAAACGUGGAACAAUGCGUGGGCUGAGACCGCUUGCCCAACUCACGCUGAAGAAUAGUCCCCAAUCUCCGUCACUGAUUACAACAGUCCUGCAGGUCAUAUUCAUCCAAGCUGCGUACCCUUUCGUCGUCUAAUCGGAGAACGAGGCGCUGAAGUCGGUCGAGUAUGGGCUGUAUGUGUUGAGGCUUAAGAAUGCAAUCCGGUUAGUAGCUGGCUCAGCACUGGCCAACACUGGAAUAUCAGCUGGCGUUGGUGGAGUAAGUUCCACCUUGGCGUACUUCAAGAAAACAUCGAGCUGAGGCCUUGCCUGUUUACAAGUCCCGAUCUCUUUGUAGACAAACUCGCCAUAUUUUCGUGUAAUCAAGUCAAUGACCAUAUCUAACAGAUAUGCCAAAUAUUUUCAUUUUGUAUGGGCAAAAGUAAAGCUUUAAAAUUCAGUUAAUAAAGAGCUUGCUUGGUUGACCCCCAGA
This is a long non-coding RNA of Drosophila pseudoobscura, 677 nucleotides long. RefSeq lists it as uncharacterized. NCBI's taxonomy places the organism in Eukaryota, Metazoa, Arthropoda, Insecta, Diptera, Drosophilidae. The transcript has 2 exons. The record is from RefSeq and is a predicted model, not a curated record.